Molecule: ribosomal RNA, 465 nt
Filed under: Vreelandella stevensii
Lineage: Bacteria; Pseudomonadati; Pseudomonadota; Gammaproteobacteria; Oceanospirillales; Halomonadaceae
Description: partial 16S ribosomal RNA
Rfam family: Bacterial small subunit ribosomal RNA
Source: RNAcentral
CCUACGGGUGGCAGCAGUGGGGAAUAUUGGACAAUGGGCGAAAGCCUGAUCCAGCCAUGCCGCGUGUGUGAAGAAGGCCUUCGGGUUGUAAAGCACUUUCAGUGGGGAAGAAAGCCUUGGGGCUAAUACCCUCGAGGAAGGACAUCACCCACAGAAGAAGCACCGGCUAACUCCGUGCCAGCAGCCGCGGCAAUACGGAGGGUGCGAGCGUUAAUCGGAAUUACUGGGCGUAAAGCGCGCGUAGGCGGUCUGAUAAGCCGGUUGUGAAAGCCCCGGGCUCAACCUGGGAACGGCAUCCGGAACUGUCAGGCUAGAGUGCAGGAGGGGAAGGUAGAAUUCCCGGUGUAGCGGUGAAAUGCGUAGAGAUCGGGAGGAAUACCAGUGGCGAAGGCGGCCUUCUGGACUGACACUGACGCUGAGGUGCGAAAGCGUGGGUAGCAAACAGGAUUAGAUACCCGUGUAGUC